This is a long non-coding RNA of Syzygium oleosum, 1919 nucleotides long. RefSeq lists it as uncharacterized. The record is from RefSeq and is a predicted model, not a curated record. NCBI's taxonomy places the organism in Eukaryota, Viridiplantae, Streptophyta, Magnoliopsida, Myrtales, Myrtaceae. The transcript is spliced from 2 exons.
AUAUUAUUAUCUCAAGUGAAUUUUAUCUGAUAAAUUUAUCUGAUUUUAUAUGAAAGAAACAAAAUAUCAAAAGACUUACUCACUUGAGAUUAUUGAUCGUAUGAUUCAUCCUUACACGAGAUUAUUUUAUAGAAUGUGAUAGAAUUAGUAUCGUAGAACUUGAAAUUUCAUUAACAAGAUUUGAAAUCCUACACGGAAAAAUAAAGAAAAAUAGAAAUUUGAUUUUGGGUAUAGACUAAACCAUCCGUUUAUAUAAAUGCUCUAGGAAUUUGUAGCUCUCCAAUAUGCAUGCAUGCUUCUUCUUUUGUCAACAUCGAGACGGCUGGAAAUGGUCAAGAACUUUGCUAGUUUUUAAUCAAAAUGUAAAAAUGGCGGAAGGAAUCAUAACACAGUAAGAAUGAAUUCAUGAUUGAAGGAAAUGACAUGAAAUUCAUACUCAUAGCUAACAACUGACGACACCCGCGUGACAGCUGAGAAGUUGCUCUGUUUCACAGAGCCCUAGACUUUCACUUGAAUGUGAGUCUCUGAAUCCAAGUUGCACUUGAACUUCUUCUUCUUUCAGAAGUAGGGAUUAGACGUCAAAGUAGCGGUAGACCUGCCAAUGCUCUCAAUGAGCAAAACCAGAUGGUGGUUGGCGAGCUUUGCCUUGGCGUGUUCCUCCAGGUGUUGUUCGAUAGAUUGGCCUCUUGUGAGCUUCUCAGCCUCCUACGGCGGCGAGGCAGGCUUGGGAUCGAACCGAAGCCAGGCAAGUGGAGGAAGAUCAUGGUGCCCAUUCGGACAAUUCUGGAAGACGCAGAGGAGACGAAUUCUCUGCUGAGAUGUGUUGCGAUAGAGUGCAAGGUGAACAGUUAUGCGUUAUGCUCCUACUUGGUUUUUGAUGAGCUUGAACUUGACGGCGCUCAAGUUCGAUCUUAACAUGGCCUCCAACGAUUUUCACAGCUAAUCGAGCUUUCUGUUGUCAAAUGUCCUAACUUUACAGAACCUUACAUGACCAGCUCCCUUCACUGAACAAAAUGGUAACCCAAGAUUGUGGAAUGUUGGUUGCCUCAACUGCAGGACUGUUGUCUCCAGGAAUGUUGGUUCCUCGAGCCUAUCUGCAUCUAUGACUCAAAACCUGAGUUCCAUACCAGAAGGCAUCCAUGACCUCAACAGUCUCAGAGAGGUCGGGAUUAGUUGGGUCCCAAGCAUACUUUGUUGAAGGAGGGUUUCCUAGCUCGUCUUAGGGAGUUCUAGAUAUAUGAUUGCAACAAACUCAAUGCCCUGCCAAAUCACAUGUACAACCUCACUUCUCUUCGACAAUUAUGGAUGAUUAAAUGUGCAGGGUUGUCAACUUUUCCAUCGAAGGGUAACCUUACUCUGGAGUAAGGAUGUCACAAUAUUCAAGCACCUUUUUGAUGGGGUUUGCACAACUCAAAAUCCUUAGAGAACUCAGGUUCGGACAUGUCCUGAUUUGGUGCCUCCAGCCGGUGAGAAAGGGAUCGCCUCUGCUGCUUCCUGCCUCUUAGACGAGCUUGAUUGGUGGAGAUCUUCCGAAGCUGAAAUAUCUAUGUUCCAGAGGUUUUCAAAAACUUGCCUCCCUUUGGUAUGUGAAUGUCUUCAACUGACCCGUACUUGCUUCCUUUCCAAAGCUGGCCUGUUUCUGUUUCCCUCGCUUCAGCAGCUGCAUAUCUCUAAUUGUCCUCUAUCGCAACGGUGAUAUAGGAAGAAGAAAGAAUGAGAGAUCAGCAUUAUGGACCUUGCUUUUUACAUUGAAAUUGGCGGAAGGUUCAUCAUUGAGGGACCUAUCUAUUUUAAGACGAAAUUUCUACCUCUAGAAUAUGUUGCUUUUAUGUUUUUUCAGCCUUAUAUUCCGUGCUUCUUGUAUGCUUUUUCUUCUUGAUGUACUGAUCAGGCAAAUGGAAUCUCUUUUUUCCUCUAAA